Molecule: ribosomal RNA, 253 nt
Filed under: uncultured bacterium
Lineage: Bacteria
Description: partial 16S ribosomal RNA
Rfam family: Bacterial small subunit ribosomal RNA
Source: RNAcentral
GACGAACCACCCAAACGUUAUUCGGAAUUACUGGGCUUAAAGGGUGCGUAGGCUGCGCAGUAAGUUGGGUGUGAAAUACCUCGGCUCAACCGAGGAACUGCGCCCAAAACUACUGUGCUUGAGGAAGAUAGAGGUGAGCGGAACUUACGGUGGAGCGGUGAAAUGCGUUGAUAUCGUAAGGAACACCUGUGGCGAAAGCGGCUCACUGGGUCUUUUCUGACGCUGAUGCACGAAAGCUAGGGGAGCAAACGGG